This 128-nucleotide small nuclear RNA is filed under the name Chinchilla lanigera (long-tailed chinchilla). Its description in RNAcentral is "U4 spliceosomal RNA (ENSCLAG00000020682.1)". It matches the Rfam family "U4 spliceosomal RNA". From Rfam's summary of the family: U4 small nuclear RNA (U4 snRNA) is a component of the major U2-dependent spliceosome. The structure of U4 snRNA from yeast and human has been reported. Lineage: Eukaryota; Metazoa; Chordata; Mammalia; Rodentia; Chinchillidae. The record is from Rfam by way of RNAcentral.
AGCUUUGCUCAGUGACAGUAUCAUAGCCAGUGCUGUUUAUCCGAGGCGUGAUUAUUGUUAGUUGAAACAAAUUCACAUGUUGAUGGUAAUGACUUUUACACCAUCAUUUAAGUACAAGGCUUUAGUUA